Molecule: unclassified non-coding RNA, 217 nt
Filed under: plant metagenome
Description: partial contains small subunit ribosomal RNA, internal transcribed spacer 1, and 5.8S ribosomal RNA
Source: RNAcentral
UCUCCGUAGGUGAACCUGCGGAGGGAUCAUUACAAGUGACCCCGGUCUAACCACCGGGAUGUUCAUAACCCUUUGUUGUCCGACUCUGUUGCCUCCGGGGCGACCCUGCCUUCGGGCGGGGGCUCCGGGUGGACACCUCAAACUCUUGCGUAACUUUGCAGUCUGAGUAAACUUAAUUAAUAAAUUAAAACUUUUAACAACGGAUCUCUUGGUUCUG